Long non-coding RNA from Cervus elaphus (red deer), 595 nucleotides. RefSeq lists it as uncharacterized. The record is from RefSeq and is a predicted model, not a curated record. NCBI's taxonomy places the organism in Eukaryota, Metazoa, Chordata, Mammalia, Artiodactyla, Cervidae. The transcript has 3 exons.
GACACUGCCCAGCCACCGCCGCGCCCGCCGCGCCCGCCGCUCCGGAAGACGAGCUCCGGUUCUGCCGGAAGGGGUGGGGCUGGGUGAGGUCAGGCUACAGCAGUGGGAGAGGCGUGAGGUCAGCCUGGGGCAGUUGGUGGCCUUCCUGCGCAGGUCAGGGCAGAGCCGCCGGCCUGAGAAUGAGGGCGCUGCUGAGCCCAGGGGUUGACAGCGCUGGUUCCUGCUGUGGUCCCGGAGCUCCACCUGAAACCUGAGGGAAGCCGUCUGCCCGUAAAGCAUAUCCCCCCUGCUAGGAACUGAUCGAGGCCAGCAGACUCUCCAAUAUGUGUGUUUCACGCUUGCAGCACAUCGCAUUGUAGAGCCAGCCGCAUUUCAGGUACUUCAUGGGUGCAGGUGACUAUGUCCCAGGGAGCCCAGUUCCAUGACAGAUGUGUCUUUAUCGUCUCCCACUGCGAUUAUGAACGUGGCUGUUAGUCCUUUUCUCUUUCUGUCAGUAUUUAUGUAUUGAUAUUUUGAGGUUAUAUUAUUCAAUUCAGUUCAGUUACUCAGUCGUCUCUGACUCUUUGCGACCCCAUGAAUCACAGCACUCCAGGCC